Molecule: unclassified non-coding RNA, 433 nt
Filed under: soil metagenome
Description: partial contains 5.8S ribosomal RNA, internal transcribed spacer 2, and large subunit ribosomal RNA
Rfam family: 5.8S ribosomal RNA (bases 1-120)
Source: RNAcentral
GAUGAAGAACGUAGCGAAAUGCGAUACGUAAUGUGAAUUGCAGAAUUCAGUGAAUCAUCGAAUCUUUGAACGCAUAUUGCGCUCUCUGGUAUUCCGGAGAGCAUGCUUGUUUGAGUAUCAGUAAACACCUCAACUUCCAUAUCUUUUUUGAAAUGGGAGUUGGACUUGAGUGAUCCCAACGCUUUUCCUCACCGAAAAGUGGCGGGUUACUUGAAAUGCAGGUGCAGCUGGACUUUUCUCUGAGCUAUAAGCAUAUCUAUUUAGUUUGCCUAAAAAACAGAUUAUUACCUUUGCUGCAGCUAACAUAAAGGAGAUUAGUUCUUGUGCUGACUGAUGCAGGAUUCACAAAGACAGGCUUCGGCCGACUUUGUAAACUCGAUCUCAAAUCAAGUAAGACUACCCGCUGAACUUAAGCAUAUCAAUAAGCGGAGGA